CCUACGGGAGGCAGCAGUGAGGAAUAUUGGUCAAUGGGCGCGAGCCUGAACCAGCCAAGUAGCGUGAAGGAUGACUGCCCUACGGGUUGUAAACUUCUUUUAUAAAGGAAUAAAGUGAGGCACGUGUGCCUUUUUGUAUGUACUUUAUGAAUAAGGAUCGGCUAACUCCGUGCCAGCAGCCGCGGUAAUACGGAGGAUCCGAGCGUUAUCCGGAUUUAUUGGGUUUAAAGGGAGCGUAGAUGGGUUGUUAAGUUAGUUGUGAAAGUUUGCGGCUCAACCGUAAAAUUGCAAUUGAUACUGGCAGCCUUGAGUACAGUUGAGGUAGGCGGAAUACGUGGAGUAGCGGUGAAAUGCUUAGAUAUCACGAAGAACUCCGAUAGCGAAGGCAGCUUACUAAACUGCCACUGACAUUGAUGCUCGAGAGUGUGGGUAUCAAACAGGAUUAGAUACCCUAGUAGUC
RNAcentral lists this ribosomal RNA (460 nucleotides) under uncultured bacterium. RNAcentral describes it as "partial 16S ribosomal RNA". It matches the Rfam family "Bacterial small subunit ribosomal RNA", at positions 338 to 795 of the family's 1533-position model. The record is from RNAcentral.